RNAcentral lists this ribosomal RNA (465 nucleotides) under uncultured bacterium. RNAcentral's name for it is "partial 16S ribosomal RNA". It matches the Rfam family "Bacterial small subunit ribosomal RNA", at positions 28 to 507 of the family's 1533-position model. The record is from RNAcentral.
GACGAACGCUGGCGGCGUGCUUAACACAUGCAAGUCGAACGGAAAGGCCCUGCUUGCAGGGUACUCGAGUGGCGAACGGGUGAGUAACACGUGGGUGAUCUGCCCUGCACUUCGGGAUAAGCCUGGGAAACUGGGUCUAAUACCGGAUAGGAGCCAUUUUUAGUGUGAUGGUUGGAAAGUUUUUUCGGUGUAGGAUGAGCUCGCGGCCUAUCAGCUUGUUGGUGGGGUAAUGGCCUACCAAGGCGGCGACGGGUAGCCGGCCUGAGAGGGUGGACGGCCACAUUGGGACUGAGAGACGGCCCAGACGCCUACGGGAGGCAGCAGUGGGGAAUAUUGCACAAUGGGCGCCAGCCUGAUGCAGCGACGCCGCGUGGGGGAUGACGGCCUUCGGGUUGUAGACUCCUUUCGCUAGGGACGAAGCUUUUUGUGACGGUACCUAGAGAAGAAGCACCGGCUAACUACGUG